RNAcentral lists this transfer RNA (86 nucleotides) under Amylibacter sp. RNAcentral describes it as "tRNA-Leu". It matches the Rfam family "tRNA". From Rfam's summary of the family: Transfer RNA (tRNA) molecules are approximately 80 nucleotides in length. Their secondary structure includes four short double-helical elements and three loops (D, anti-codon, and T loops). Further hydrogen bonds mediate the characteristic L-shaped molecular structure. tRNAs have two regions of fundamental functional importance: the anti-codon, which is responsible for specific mRNA codon recognition, and the 3' end, to which the tRNAs corresponding amino acid is attached (by aminoacyl-tRNA synthetases). tRNAs cope with the degeneracy of the genetic code in two manners: having more than one tRNA (with a specific anti-codon) for a particular amino acid; and 'wobble' base-pairing, i.e. permitting non-standard base-pairing at the 3rd anti-codon position. The record is from RNAcentral. Lineage: Bacteria; Pseudomonadati; Pseudomonadota; Alphaproteobacteria; Rhodobacterales; Paracoccaceae.
GCGGCCGUGGCGGAAUGGUAGACGCGCAGCGUUGAGGUCGCUGUGGGGUAAAACUCGUGGAAGUUCGAGUCUUCUCGGCCGCACCA